CAAUAGCGUAUAUUAAAGUUGUUGCAGUUAAAAAGCUCGUAGUUGGAGUUCAGAGUGAGCUCGUCCGGUCGGCCUUAUGGGUCAGAACUGGUUGACUCUCUCUUGUUUGUGGAUCCUGUCAGCAGUUAACUCUGUUGAUGUGGAGUCCACAUCGUUUACCUUGAAAAAAUUAGAGUGUUCAAAGCAGGCGUUUGCUUGAAUAUAUUAGCAUGGAAUAAUAAGAUAGGACUUUGAGUCUAUUUUGUUGGUUUGCGAGUCAAAGUAAUGAUUAAUAGGGACAGUUGGGGGUAUUCGUAUUUCAUUGUCAGAGGUGAAAUUCUUGGAUUUCUGAAAGACGAACUACUGCGAAAGCAUUUACCAAGGAUGUUUUCAUUAAUCAAGAACGAAAGUUAGGGGAUCGAAGACGAUUAGAUACCAU
RNAcentral lists this ribosomal RNA (418 nucleotides) under uncultured eukaryote. Its description in RNAcentral is "bacterial SSU rRNA". It matches the Rfam family "Eukaryotic small subunit ribosomal RNA", at positions 592 to 1018 of the family's 1831-position model. The record is from RNAcentral.